UCCGAUGUGGUGUAGUGGCUAUCAUACUGCGCUUUCAUGGUCUAACAUCCAGCAAAGUGCCGCAGGGAUCGGGGUUCGAUUCCCCGCAUCGGAG
Non-coding RNA from Claviceps pusilla, 94 nucleotides. Lineage: Eukaryota; Fungi; Ascomycota; Sordariomycetes; Hypocreales; Clavicipitaceae. The record is from the annotation of a GenBank genome assembly.